Molecule: ribosomal RNA, 784 nt
Filed under: Escherichia coli
Lineage: Bacteria; Pseudomonadati; Pseudomonadota; Gammaproteobacteria; Enterobacterales; Enterobacteriaceae
Description: partial 23S ribosomal RNA
Rfam family: Bacterial large subunit ribosomal RNA
Source: RNAcentral
GGGUUGUGAGGUUAAGCAACUAAGCGUACACGGUGGAUGCCCUGGCAGUCAGAGGCGAUGAAGGACGUGCUAAUCUGCGAUAAGCGUCGGUAAGGUGAUAUGAACCGUUAUAACCGGCGAUUUCCGAAUGGGGAAACCCAGUGUGUUUCGACACACUAUCAUUAACUGAAUCCAUAGGUUAAUGAGGCGAACCGGGGGAACUGAAACAUCUAAGUACCCCGAGGAAAAGAAAUCAACCGAGAUUCCCCCAGUAGCGGCGAGCGAACGGGGAGGAGCCCAGAGCCUGAAUCAGUGUGUGUGUUAGUGGAAGCGUCUGGAAAGGCGCGCGAUACAGGGUGACAGCCCCGUACACAAAAAUGCACAUGCUGUGAGCUCGAUGAGUAGGGCGGGACACGUGGUAUCCUGUCUGAAUAUGGGGGGACCAUCCUCCAAGGCUAAAUACUCCUGACUGACCGAUAGUGAACCAGUACCGUGAGGGAAAGGCGAAAAGAACCCCGGCGAGGGGAGUGAAAAAGAACCUGAAACCGUGUACGUACAAGCAGUGGGAGCAUGCUUAGGCGUGUGACUGCGUACCUUUUGUAUAAUGGGUCAGCGACUUAUAUUCUGUAGCAAGGUUAACCGAAUAGGGGAGCCGAAGGGAAACCGAGUCUUAACUGGGCGUUAAGUUGCAGGGUAUAGACCCGAAACCCGGUGAUCUAGCCAUGGGCAGGUUGAAGGUUGGGUAACACUAACUGGAGGACCGAACCGACUAAUGUUGAAAAAUUAGCGGAUGACUUGUGGCUGG